RNAcentral lists this small nuclear RNA (23 nucleotides) under Arabidopsis thaliana (thale cress). RNAcentral describes it as "snRNA_15228". The record is from RNAcentral. Lineage: Eukaryota; Viridiplantae; Streptophyta; Magnoliopsida; Brassicales; Brassicaceae.
UCAUUUCUUGUGUAAUGACGUGU